UAUAUCCGUGUCAGUGCAGUUAAGCAGGGAGAGCAUGUCUGAUAUGUGUAGGAAAAAUGCGUCCUGGAAGGAUGAAAUGUCGUCUUUGUAGACUGUUUUUUGUGCACUUGAAACGUAUAAAAUCCAACUAAGCAUGUAUGCCUUGUAUGAAACAUGAUCAUAUUCAAACCACCAUAACUCACUUCCUGUUCCGAUAUGAAUGUAAUAUU
RNAcentral lists this long non-coding RNA (209 nucleotides) under Mytilus galloprovincialis (Mediterranean mussel). Lineage: Eukaryota; Metazoa; Mollusca; Bivalvia; Mytilida; Mytilidae. The record is from RNAcentral.